Long non-coding RNA from Mauremys mutica (yellowpond turtle), 625 nucleotides. RefSeq lists it as uncharacterized. The transcript is spliced from 3 exons. NCBI's taxonomy places the organism in Eukaryota, Metazoa, Chordata, Testudines, Geoemydidae. The record is from RefSeq and is a predicted model, not a curated record.
CAGUACAACUGACUGCAGUUCUUGAGAUGCUUGAAGAAUUAUAGGCUAUAAUUUGCAAUUAUGGAUCCGCAUAAUUAGGGCUUGUCUACAUUACGUGCUGGAUCGACGGGCAGUGAUUGAUCUAGCAGGGAUCGAUUUGUCUAGAUGUGAUAAAUCGACAGCUGAGCGUUCUCCCAUCGACUCUGGUACUCCACCAGGGUGAGAAGCACAGGCAGAUUUGACAGGAGAGCAUCAGCCAUCGACUUACCGCAGUGAAGACACCACGUCCCCCUAACCCCGAUGCAAUGAGAUGAAGAGCAUGAUUGACUGUUCUAUUUUUGCAAGACCAGCUAGGUCAAGACCCAGGAAAGUUCAAGGUUGGUUCUCAUCUCCAUCAUGUUGUGUUCAGUGUCACCAAAUUGUUCAUGAAGAGGGUCUCAAUACACAUAACAGGGUGUCUCUGUAUAUUUGAAUAGCAGGAGAAGAUGGGGGUUCAUGAGCAGAACAUUUCCCCAAUUUUUGCCCCUUCUACCUGAGAUUUUAACUGAACAAGAUGCUUAAGGAUGUGCCUAUCUUUAAGCACACUCAUAGUCCCAUUGACUUCAAUGGGGCUUGCUUUUGUACCAUGCCAAAUUGGGGCCUGAAU